CGCUGGCGGCGUGCUUAACACAUGCAAGUCGAACGCACCUUCGGGUGAGUGGCGGACGGGUGAGUAACGCGUAGGUAAUCUACUCUUCAGUGGGGGAUACCCAGCCGAAAGGUUGGUUAAUACCGCAUACGCUCCUGUGCAGAGAGGUACAGGAGGAAAGGUUUACUGCUGAGGAAUGAGCCUGCGUCCGAUUAGCUAGUUGGUGGGGUAAAGGCUCACCAAGGCGACGAUCGGUAGCUGGUCUGAGAGGACGAUCAGCCACACUGGAACUGAGACACGGUCCAGACUCCUACGGGAGGCAGCAGUGGGGAAUUUUCCGCAAUGGGCGAAAGCCUGACGGAGCAACGCCGCGUGGGUGAUGAAGUUUUCGGAACGUAAAACCCUUUCGCCAGGGACGAAGCGAGUGACGGUACCUGGAGAAGAAGCAUCGGCUAACUACGUG
Molecule: ribosomal RNA, 442 nt
Filed under: uncultured bacterium
Lineage: Bacteria
Description: bacterial SSU rRNA
Rfam family: Bacterial small subunit ribosomal RNA
Source: RNAcentral